CCGUAAACGAUGUGUGUUAGACGUUGGAAAUUUAUUUUCAGUGUCGCAGGGAAACCGAUAAACACACCGCCUGGGGAGUACGACCGCAAGGUUAAAACUCAAAUGAAUUGACGGGGACCCGCACAAGUAGUGGAGCAUGUGGUUUAAUUCGAAGAUACGCGCAGAACCUUACCAACACUUGACAUGUUCGUCGCGACUCUGAGAGAUUAGAGUUUUCGGUUCGGCCGGACGAAACACAGGUGCUGCAUGGCUGUCGUCAGCUCGCGUCGUGAGAUGUUGGGUUAAGUCCCGCAACGAGCGCAACCCUCACUUUUAGUUGCCAUCAUUAAGUUGGGCACUCUGAAAGAACUGCCAGUGAUAAGCUGGAGGAAGGUGGGGAUGACGUCAAGUCCUCAUGGCCCUUACGUGUUGGGCUACACACGUGCUACAAUGGUAUCUACAACAGGAAGCAAGACUGCGAAGUUAAGCAAAUCCCUAAAAGAUACCUCAGUUCGGAUUGCGCUCUGCAACUCGAGUGCAUGAAGCUGGAAUUACUAGUAAUCGUGGAUCAGCGUGCCACGGUGAAUGCGUUCCCGGGUCUUGUACACACCGCCCGUCACACCAUGGGAGUUGGUUCUACCUUAAGGCAAGGUUUCAAACCCUUGACCACGGUAUAGUCAGCGACUGGGGUGAAGUCGUAACAAGGUAACCGUA
This 693-nucleotide ribosomal RNA is filed under the name uncultured bacterium. RNAcentral describes it as "bacterial SSU rRNA". It matches the Rfam family "Bacterial small subunit ribosomal RNA", at positions 800 to 1504 of the family's 1533-position model. The record is from RNAcentral.